Molecule: ribosomal RNA, 368 nt
Filed under: uncultured bacterium
Lineage: Bacteria
Description: bacterial SSU rRNA
Rfam family: Bacterial small subunit ribosomal RNA
Source: RNAcentral
GGAGGGUGCGAGCGUUGUCCGGAAUCACUGGGCGUAAAGGGCGCGUAGGCGGCCUGAUAAGUAGGGGGUGAAAUCUUGCGGCUUAACCGCAAGGCUGCCUUCUAAACUGUCAGGCUAGAGCACAGUAGAGGCAGGUGGAAUUCCCGGUGUAGCGGUGGAAUGCGUAGAGAUCGGGAAGAACAUCAGUGGCGAAGGCGGCCUGCUGGGCUGUUGCUGACGCUGAGGCGCGACAGCGUGGGGAGCAAACAGGAUUAGAUACCCUGGUAGUCCACGCCGUAAACGAUGGGCACUAGGCGUCGGGGGGAGCGACCCUCCCGGUGCCGUCGCUAACGCAGUAAGUGCCCCGCCUGGGGAGUACGGCCGCAAGG